This 773-nucleotide ribosomal RNA is filed under the name uncultured Streptococcus sp. Its description in RNAcentral is "bacterial SSU rRNA". It matches the Rfam family "Bacterial small subunit ribosomal RNA", at positions 28 to 776 of the family's 1533-position model. Lineage: Bacteria; Bacillati; Bacillota; Bacilli; Lactobacillales; Streptococcaceae. The record is from RNAcentral.
GACGAACGCUGGCGGCGUGCCUAAUACAUGCAGGUAGAACGCACAGGAUGCACCGUAGUUUACUACACCGUAUUCUGUGAGUUGCGAACGGGUGAGUAACGCGUAGGUAACCUGCCUGGUAGCGGGGGAUAACUAUUGGAAACGAUAGCUAAUACCGCAUAAGAACAUUUACUGCAUGGUAGAUGUUUAAAAGGUGCAAAAGCAUCACUACCAGAUGGACCUGCGUUGUAUUAGCUAGUUGGUGAGGUAACGGCUCACCAAGGCAACGAUACAUAGCCGACCUGAGAGGGUGAUCGGCCACACUGGGACUGAGACACGGCCCAGACUCCUACGGGAGGCAGCAGUAGGGAAUCUUCGGCAAUGGGGGGAACCCUGACCGAGCAACGCCGCGUGAGUGAAGAAGGUUUUCGGAUCGUAAAGCUCUGUUGUUAAGGAAGAACGUGUGUGAGAGUGGAAAGUUCACACAGUGACGGUACUUAACCAGAAAGGGACGGCUAACUACGUGCCAGCAGCCGCGGUAAUACGUAGGUCCCGAGCGUUGUCCGGAUUUAUUGGGCGUAAAGCGAGCGCAGGCGGUUAGAUAAGUCUGAAGUGAAAGGCAGUGGCUCAACCAUUGUAGGCUUUGGAAACUGUUUAACUUGAGUGCAGAAGGGGAGAGUGGAAUUCCAUGUGUAGCGGUGAAAUGCGUAGAUAUAUGGAGGAACACCGGUGGCGAAAGCGGCUCUCUGGUCUGUAACUGACGCUGAGGCUCGAAAGCGUGGGGAGCGAACAGG